Molecule: ribosomal RNA, 1229 nt
Filed under: uncultured bacterium
Lineage: Bacteria
Description: bacterial SSU rRNA
Rfam family: Bacterial small subunit ribosomal RNA
Source: RNAcentral
UGGCUCAGGACGAACGCUGGCGGCGUGCCUAACACAUGCAAGUCGAACGGAGUAAUGAUUUCGGUUAUUACUUAGUGGCGAACGGGUGAGUAACGCGUGAGAAACCUGCCUUUCAGUGGGGGACAACAGUUGGAAACGACUGCUAAUACCGCAUAAUGUUAUUUGGGGGCAUCCCUGAAUAACCAAAGAUUUAUUGCUGAAAGAUGGUCUCGCGUCUGAUUAGCUUGUUGGCGGGGUAACGGCCCACCAAGGCGACGAUCAGUAGCCGGUCUGAGAGGAUGAACGGCCACAUUGGGACUGAGAUACGGCCCAGACUCCUACGGGAGGCAGCAGUGGGGAAUAUUGGGCAAUGGGGGAAACCCUGACCCAGCAACGCCGCGUGAAGGAAGAAGGCCUUCGGGUUGUAAACUUCUUUUACCAGGGACGAAGAUUGACGGUACCUGGAGAAAAAGCAACGGCUAACUACGUGCCAGCAGCCGCGGUAAUACGUAGGUUGCAAGCGUUGUCCGGAUUUACUGGGUGUAAAGGGCGUGUAGGCGGAGAUGCAAGUUGGGAGUGAAAUCCCGGGGCUCAACCCCGGAACUGCUUUCAAAACUGUAUCCCUUGAGUGUCGGAGAGGCAAGCGGAAUUCCUAGUGUAGCGGUGAAAUGCGUAGAUAUUAGGAGGAACACCAGUGGCGAAGGCGGCUUGCUGGACGAUAACUGACGCUGAGGCGCGAAAGCGUGGGGAGCAAACAGGAUUAGAUACCCUGGUAGUCCACGCUGUAAACGAUGAAUACUAGGUGUGGGAGGACUGACCCCUUCCGUGCCGCAGUUAACACAAUAAGUAUUCCACCUGGGGAGUACGACCGCAAGGUUGAAACUCAAAGGAAUUGACGGGGGCCCGCACAAGCAGUGGAUUAUGUGGUUUAAUUCGACGCAACGCGAAGAACCUUACCAGGGUUUGACAUCCAACUAACGAAGUAGAGAUACAUUAGGUGCCCUUCGGGGAAAGUUGAGACAGGUGGUGCAUGGUUGUCGUCAGCUCGUGUCGUGAGAUGUUGGGUUAAGUCCCGCAACGAGCGCAACCUCUAUUGUUAGUUGCUACGCAAGAGCACUCUAGCGAGACUGCCGUUGACAAAACGGAGGAAGGCGGGGACGACGUCAAAUCAUCAUGCCCCUUAUAUCCUGUGCUACACACGUAAUACAAUGGUGGUCAACAGAGGGAGGCAAAGGAGCGAUCCGGAGCAA